Long non-coding RNA from Bos indicus x Bos taurus (hybrid cattle), 869 nucleotides. Lineage: Eukaryota; Metazoa; Chordata; Mammalia; Artiodactyla; Bovidae. The record is from Ensembl.
CCUCUCUCUCUCUCUUUCUGCUGUACUCAUAUGUUAGCCUUGCUUCCAGAUUCAGGACCCAGUCUUUUCCCAGCCCAGCGGGAUGCCCCAGAAACCCCUCAGCAACAUGACUCUGCACCCUCUACGUCAGAAGGCUGGUUCCUGGUGGCCUUUUUGCUCUGUCACCUUGCACACGUCACGAUAGAGGACCGAGUCGGAGAAGGCAAUGGCAACCCACUCCAGUACUCUUGCCUGGAAAAUCCCAUGGACGGAGGAGCCUGGUAGGCUGCAGUCCAUGGGGUCGCUAGGAGUCGGACACGACUGAGCGACUUCACUUUCACUUUUCCCUUUCAUGCAUUGGAGAAGGACAGACUGGAAGUAUGAGGAAUAUGAAUCCCCACUAAGUGCAUCUUUCAACCAACGACUGAGGGGAUUUUGUGAGAUGGUCGGUUGGAGUUGGCUCAUACUGACCUGCAAAGUUUGAUUGUUAAAUUUUCUGAAAUUUUGUCAGUCAGUUGUUAAACACAGCUGUUACUAAAAAUUAAAUUAUAUACACUUGCAUUAUAAUUAAGUAAAUUAUGUUAAAAGUAAAGGUAAUUUCUAUUACUUUCUAAUUAUUUUACUACAUUUUAUGUUUUCCUGUACUCUUGUCUUUUGUAUUAAGUAAGUGGCUACUAUGGUUCUUUUCUCAGCUCCAUGUUCAAUGACAUUAUAUUGGUAGCUUUAAAUCAGCCAUGAUGGGAGGAGAAUUUACACCAUGGAAAUUGGCAAAUGUUACAAAUCAGGGAUCACUCAACCCCACUCUCACUCCAGCUGGAAAACGUGUUGUUAAAGAUUUACCAACACAUUACUGAGAUGGUAAAUAAAUACUCAAGCUCUUUUACCCCUCA